This is a long non-coding RNA of Apus apus (common swift), 1427 nucleotides long. RefSeq lists it as uncharacterized. The transcript has 6 exons. The record is from RefSeq and is a predicted model, not a curated record. Lineage: Eukaryota; Metazoa; Chordata; Aves; Apodiformes; Apodidae.
AUGACAGAAAACUCUUCCAAAGGAGCUGCUUUCCAGUUCAAGCAAAGCUCCAGGGGUCAACUCUGGAGGAGAAUGUCUCUAGGACCACCCUGAGCCUUGGUCCGGGGCUGGGCCAAGCAUGAAGGUCUAGGGGCACCGGGUCAAGGUGCUCCUAGCAUGGCUGGGCUUGGGGCAGUGGCACCCUGAGGAAGCUCUGUCCUCACUAAGCUCUCUGCACCUAUGCUUCCCAUUCCUGUGAUAACAAGGCAGGGCAUCAGCAGAGCUACUUGUCUCCAGCACCUUCCCAAGAACUCAAGAGGACACAGCCAGCUCCUGCACUGUCACACUAUCCUGAUGUGCCUGUGGAAGCUGUUCCCCACACCAGAGCCCCAGAGGAGCCUGCACUGACACCGACGCAUGGAGUUGUACAGAAGGAGAAUUCAUUGAAGCAACAGACAUGACAAGUUCAGAAUUGCCCUUGGUAAAUUGUGCACCUACUCCAGAGAUUUGACUUGGUUCCCAGCUAUAAUCCCUCUGGGCACAGGCUGCAGGAAGCUGCUGCCAACCAGGAGACCUCCCCAGGUGCCUUCGAGGUGUGAAAGCGAAGAGGGAAAAAGGACCCCAAGCAUCUUCCACCCCUGGAGCUACCUUCACCCUGAGUGAUUCUGUGGGGUGUUCUGGAUUCAGGGACAACAUUUCCAAGCUGGACAAGCUGAAUGAAGGAGAUGGUGGAAGGUUUGGAGCAGCAGCAGGACAAGCUGUGUGCAACGAUGGAAGGUGUGGGGAAGGAACAGGACAAGCUGCAUGUGACAGUGGAAGGUUUGGAGCAGGAAAAGCUGCAGCGAUUUGCCAGAAACCCGCACGUCGCGGCCACCAGCAGCAGCCUUCCCGUUCCCUCCCCUAAAGCAGAAGCGGUCAGGCUGGUGAGGCUGUGCCCGCGGCCCCGGGCAGCUCAGCCGCCCCGAGGGGAACCAGCGCAACAUGGCGCCCGGCGCGGCUGAGGGGAGAACCGCGGAGGCUCCGUGGGCAGCGCUGAUUGGCUGAGGAGGCGGUGGGCGGGGCCUGCGCCUCGGCAACAGGGAGGAUGCCUUACAGGGCUCUCCUCCUUCCCCGUGGGGUCCCUCCCAUGGGAGUUCUUCUGGAACCUCUCCUUGAGUCCUUCCCACAAGCUGCAAUUCCUCAGGAGCUGCUCCAGCAUGGGCUGCCCAGACUCGGGCUGUUUCAGGAACAGUCACCUCCCCUGGCACAGGGUCCUCCAGGGAUGCUCUGCUGUGUUCCUCCAUGGGGUGCAGGGGGACAGCUGCCCUCUCCCCAUGGGCUGCAGGCAAACUUCUGCUUGGUCACCUCCUUUCCCUUCUUUCCUUACCAACCCCAGGAUCUCCACUCCAGCACUGCUCAAAAAACCACGCCAGAACCAAACCCAUGACAGGAUGUUAUGGGAGAGUGUC